RNAcentral lists this ribosomal RNA (450 nucleotides) under uncultured bacterium. RNAcentral describes it as "bacterial SSU rRNA". It matches the Rfam family "Bacterial small subunit ribosomal RNA", at positions 30 to 473 of the family's 1533-position model. The record is from RNAcentral.
AUUGAACGCUGGCGGCAGGCCUAACACAUGCAAGUCGAGCGGUAGAGAGGUGCUUGCAUCUCUUGAGAGCGGCGGACGGGUGAGUAAUGCCUAGGAAUCUGCCUAGUGGUGGGGGAUAACGUUCGGAAACGGACGCUAAUACCGCAUACGUCCUACGGGAGAAAGCGGGGGAUCUUCGGACCUCGCGCCAUUAGAUGAGCCUAGGUCGGAUUAGCUAGUUGGUGAGGUAAUGGCUCACCAAGGCGACGAUCCGUAACUGGUCUGAGAGGAUGAUCAGUCACACUGGAACUGAGACACGGUCCAGACUCCUACGGGAGGCAGCAGUGGGGAAUAUUGGACAAUGGGCGAAAGCCUGAUCCAGCCAUGCCGCGUGUGUGAAGAAGGUCUUCGGAUUGUAAAGCACUUUAAGUUGGGAGGAAGGGUAGGUAACCUAAUACGUUGCUACUUUGA